AUGAAGCGUGCAUUCGUGUGUGUGCUGAUGGCUGCCUGGAGCCUUGGAUGUGGCAGCCAGACGGUGCACCAGCCAGCAGAGAAUGUGUACGCCAUGAAAGGCGACUCAGUGACGCUGGACUGCAGCUAUGAAAACUCUGGAGGCAACGACUACAUCUUCUGGCCCCGCCUCCUCAGCCACCAAGUCAACGUGCACAGAGCCCAGGAGUGCAAACAUGAAGCGUGCAUUGGAUGUGGCAGCCAGACGGUGCACCAGCCAGCAGAGAAUGUGUACGCCAUGAAAGGCGACUCAGUUACGCUGGACUGCAGCUAUGAAAAUUCUGGAGGCAACGACUACAUCUUCUGGUACAAACAGGACGGGCAGGCAGCACCAAAGUUCAUCCUGAGCCUCUCAAUAUUUGGUCAGGGCAAGACUGAGAGCAGCUUUGAAAAGAGGUUGAGCUGCAGCAUCAAUGACACCACCAAGCGAGCUCCUCUGAAGAUUCAAGACGUGCAGCUGAGCGACUCUGCUGUCUUCUACUGCGCCAUCCAGCCCACAAUGACUGACAGCUCUGCUGCACCCGCACAAAAACCUCUGUAG
Molecule: non-coding RNA, 579 nt
Organism: Entelurus aequoreus (snake pipefish)
Lineage: Eukaryota; Metazoa; Chordata; Actinopteri; Syngnathiformes; Syngnathidae
Source: the annotation of a RefSeq genome assembly